CUCCCGAGUAGCUGGGACUGCAGGCGCCCGCCACCAUGCCUGGCUAAUUUUUUGUAUGUUUAGUAGAGACGGGGUUUCACCGUGUUAGCCAGGAUGGUCUCUAUCUCCUGACCUUGUGAUCUGCCUGCCUCGGCCUCCCGAAGUGCCGGGAUUACAAGCGUGAGCCACCAUUCCCGGCCCAAAGAGGAGAAGAAGUAUGAAGUGCUUGCUUGGACCUUUCUACUGUGCUUAUUAUUCUGUCUUCUCCUCAUGGCAAAUGCUUCCUGUCCUUGAACAUCAGACUUCAAGUUCUUCAGUUUUGGGACUUGGACUGGCCCCUUGCUCCUCAGCUUCCCAAUGGCCUACUGUGGGACCUUGUGAUCAUAAGCUGACAAACGGUUUAUAUCAGAAGGUGGAAUCGUGGGUAUGGUCGAUGUGGCAGGUCCUAAACAUAAAUUGGGUCUACAAUUCCUUUAAAGGGGGCGCCAAAUGGGUAGGAGGGCAUAACUGAAUGAAUUUCGUACUCCAAGCCUAGUCUUUCGACUAACUUGCCACCAGAUUUUUGUCUGUCAGGUUCCCUGCUGUAUACCUAACACAAUGAAUUAGACAAGAAUUAUCCGACUACUACUCAAAUUCCUGGAACAUAGUGACUACUCUAAAAAUUUAUUUUAAAAUGUAAAAUGUGUAUGU
RNAcentral lists this long non-coding RNA (669 nucleotides) under Homo sapiens (human). RNAcentral's name for it is "HSALNT0392429". The record is from RNAcentral. Lineage: Eukaryota; Metazoa; Chordata; Mammalia; Primates; Hominidae.